UACGUAGGGUGCGAGCGUUGUCCGGAAUUAUUGGGCGUAAAGAGCUCGUAGGCGGCUUGUCGCGUCGGAUGUGAAAGCCCGGGGCUUAACUCCGGGUCUGCAUUCGAUACGGGCAGGCUAGAGUUCGGUAGGGGAGAUCGGAAUUCCUGAUGUAGCGGUGAAAUGCGCAGAUAUCAGGAGGAACACCGGUGGCGAAGGCGGAUCUCUGGGCCGAUACUGACGCUGAGGAGCGAAAGCGUGGGGAGCGAACAGG
This 253-nucleotide ribosomal RNA is filed under the name uncultured bacterium. Its description in RNAcentral is "partial 16S ribosomal RNA". It matches the Rfam family "Bacterial small subunit ribosomal RNA", at positions 524 to 776 of the family's 1533-position model. The record is from RNAcentral.